RNAcentral lists this long non-coding RNA (6841 nucleotides) under Olea europaea (common olive). RNAcentral's name for it is "long non-coding RNA (OEUR_LNC007776)". Lineage: Eukaryota; Viridiplantae; Streptophyta; Magnoliopsida; Lamiales; Oleaceae. The record is from RNAcentral.
CUUUUUUUUUUUUUGACCGAAGAUAUUAUAAUUCAAACACUAUUCACAAAGCCAAGUAGUCAACCAUUUAGGCAAUAAAGUUGUCAUAAAGGAACCUGAUUGGAAUGAAUAAAGGCAAUAAGGCAAGCAUCAUUUUUCAUUUGUUUCCCUACGUCUCUAUCAUUUGAUUUUUAACCAAACAAAAUAGGGGCAUAGAAUGAUAGAAUAUGAAAAAGAAAUAAAAUGUACAUUGAGAUGCAUGAAUAACGGAAAAAUGAAAAGUAAAGAUUAUUUCAAUUAUCCCUGUUUGGGCUCAUUUGAUCCAAAAUACUUUUUUUUUUCUCUUCCCUUUUUAAUAAGACAUUUUCAAUAAAAUAAUAGAGGAAAUUACAUAAAACCAAGUAGUUAAACUUUCAAAUUUAAAAUUCAGGGGUGAAGUUUAUUUAUGCAAAAAGUAGGUAUGAAUUAAAGUAUUUAACCAACCACCCACUACAAAACCUAAUCCCCGUAUCUAUUCUCUUCUGCAUAUUCUCUCUUCUCUCAACAACAAUAGUAGCGUCACCCUAGAAGAGAAUCUCCGACGUGACGGCGUCACUACCAAAAGAUUUCUUGGUGUGGUGUUGAGGGCGAUUUCUUCUAUUUUGAUAUCAAACACGUAAAUAAUUUUAAGCUUUGUUUUGUUAUUAUUAUUUUGUAAUUUUGUUUAUGAAUAUAUUAAUUAUUUAAUUAAUAUUCAACUCAAAUUAUUCACCAUUAAUUUCUUUCAAUAAUCUUUUUUAUAGAACAUAUUAUAAUUCAAGCACUAUUCACAAAGUCAACAAUGUAAUCUUAUCCACACAUUUCAUGAGAUUAUUAUUUUUAGCAAUUUUGCAGCUUAUAUCAAAAUAUACUAAAAAUAUUAUUAUUACAUACAUUGACAUGUGCCUAACAAAGUGAUAACCGUGUGAGUGCGCAUCUUUUGUACGUUUAAAAAAAUAAAUAAAUAACAGACGAAUAAAUUGCACAUUUAGUAUCUAACUUUGACCUCCUCUUAUAAACUUGUUCACUAAUUUAAAUUUUGAACUUUUAAAUCCAAUGAAAGAGAUGUUCAUGAUCUAACAAACUAAAUUAAAAAAAGUAAGAAUCUAUACUCAUUAAAGUAUUUGGAUGUUUGCAGAUUGGAAAAAAGACAGAGUCUUCAUUUUUCACCAAUUUGACACCUUCUCUUUUUUAUUUACUUAGUCCUUGUUUGAGCCCCAUUUUUUUAUCAAAAUAUAUUUUUCAUGAUUUGACAUCAUUUCAAAAACACGUCUUUCAAUAAAAUAAUAUUACACUCAAACCCAAAACUUUUUCUUAUUUUCUAACCACACAUUCUCCAUCAUAAAACUAUAUGGGGCUCAACCUUAGUUGCCAAAAACGAUUAUUUCAUUAGUUGUCAAAACAAAUUGUGUUGUAUUAAAGUGAAAUAGAAAUAAAUAUCCAAAUCAGUUUUGCUUGGAACUCACCUAUUAACUUUCAAAGAGAAUAAAUUAAAUCCUAUACAUCGAUCUAUCAAACAAAUCAACUUUUUUAGCGAUCUAAUUUAAUGUACAAACCUCUACUAAAAAUUUAAAAAUUUAUAAUGUCGCUACCUAAGGCGCAUUCACUUAUAUGUAGAUAAAGUUGAUUGAAAUACAAAUAAUCAACAUGUUACACGUACAUUUUCUUUGACAUCAUGUUUGACAUUCAACAAAUGACAGCAAUCUUGGCCUUUAAUUUUAAACUAGUCACUGUCACAUGCGUUGCACAAAUUUUGUAUUUAUCAUAUUUUUAUUAGUGUAUGAAUUUUAGUUUUUUAGAAAGUUUUUGAAGCAAUAUCUAGAAAUAUUUUCAUGAUAUAAAAAAAUAAUUGCAAUUUAUUUUUACAAUUGUAUAACAGUAUUGUGUCAUCUAGAAAAAAUAUACUUAUGUACUUCAUACUUGAAUAAGAAAUAUACAAGAUUAUACAAAUUAUUUUACUUGUAUUCUUUGAUAGUGUUGAUAUGAUUGAGUUGAAUGUGAAUAUUAUAUUUCUAAAUUUUGUGUAAUUCAAUAUUGGAAAAUUGAAAAUUGAGCACCAUAUUCAUAUGCGUUUAUAUUUUGUGCUUCAUAUAUAUAUAAUAUUUAUUUUAUGCUUAUGUUGAAUAAAUAAAAAUCUGAAAUUUUUUUUGAAAUUCGAUUUGGUAAGUGAAUGUACAGUGUUCUGUAUUUUCGGUAUUUGUAAGUGUAAAAAUCGGUAUAUAAAAAUACAGUAUGCUGCAAAUAUGGUAGGCAACAUAAACGGUAAGUUGUAAAUACAGUAGGCAGCAUAUAUGGUAAACUGCAAAUACGGUAAGAUGCAAAUACAGUAAGUUGUUUGCAAAUACGGUAGGCUGCAAAUACGGUAAGUUGCAAAUACGGUAGGCAACAUAUAUGGUAAGCUGUACAUACAGUAAGCUGUCUGCAAAUACGGUAAGCUACAUAUAUGGAUUUAUAAUUUGUUAUAAAUGUAUAAAAGUUAUUUAAUAUUGAAUUUCUUAAGUAUUAAAUAUUGUAAUUCAAUAUUGUUUCCUUUUUUAUAAUUGUAUUUCCAAGAAUUUUAAAAAAAAAGUGAUUAUGAAAUUACUAAUUUUUAAAUAUAUUUUUUGUUGAAGAUAAAAAUGAUUUUUUUAUGUUAUUUUUAAAAAAAAAUUAUUGUAAUUUUAUUAGCGUAAUAAGAAGAUUUAUUAUACAUUUUUAUUUUUUACAUUUUGUGAAGAAUUUUGUUUAUGGUGAUUGACAAAUAUUUUUCCACACACGCAUCAUGCCAUCAACAUUAAAAAAAUAAUAAUAAUUUUAGUAUAUAUAAACUCCAUGAGACAAAAAAAAAAAAAAACUCUCCGCACAUGAGCAAAAAAAAAAAAAAGUACUCCACAUAAUGUAGAGAGAUGGCUCCGCACAGUAUGAAUAGAAAAAUAAAAACUCUCCGCACAGUACAGAGAGAGAAACCAAACUCUCCGCACAAUGCGAAGAGAAAACAAAAACUAUCCGCACUGUGCGGAGAGAUAUAUGGCACUCUCUCCACGCAGUGCGGAGAGAAAAACCAAACUCUCCGCACAGUGCAGACUCUCUUCUUUUUUCUUUUUCUUUUUUCUAUUCUCGAAAAUACAAUUAUAUAAAAAGAAAAACAAUAUUGAAUUAGUACUUAAGAAGUUCAAAUUAAAUAAAUUUUAUACAUUUAUAACAAAUUAUAAAUCGACGUAUAUGUAAUAUACCGAAUUUUUUCAUUGUCGUCUUACUUACUUCCAUGCUAUAGAUCACAAUUAUGCUGACUUUUUGUCCUUUAGAGCAUCCAUGAUUUCCUAAGACCCUUCAAUGUGUUUUUUUCAGUAAACUUUUAACAAAUCAACAGCAAAAGAAAAAAGAAUUAUUCCCUAGUAAAUGAUCAAUUCUAUGUGCAAAAUUAUAUGAACUAUAUGGGAUUGAAAAUAAAUAUGGUUGAUAGGAUUGAAAGUUCCCCUUUCUAAUAGAUGCAGUGAUUUGUCAUUAAGCUUAUUGAUCUUAACUGGGUGGGUGUUUUGUGUAUCAUUUUGGCACGUAAUUAAACAAUAAAGCUAGCUUCUGUCUAUGGAACUAUUUUGUUACCUUAGUACGCAACAUUUCGUGAAUCUUUGAAUAUUAGACUAUAUUUGAUCAAUUCUACUCUUUCUUUUCAUUUACUAUUUUUCUUGCAAGCAAGUGGAUUCAGGAAUCGAAUACAUAGUUUCAUAACAAAUAUAUAGUCUAUAUAGGUUCAUUUGAAAAAUGAAAUAAUAAAAUAAAAUUGUAGAGCUUUCUCUAGUCUCUACAAACGAAAAUGUGGUUUGACUAAUCAAUCAAAAUAUCCAUAAUUAAAAGUUGAGUACGAAUGUGGUUUGAGCAAUCAACUCUCCCCGCACAGUGCGGAGAGUUUUGGCAUGGUACAGAGAGUUUGCAAACUCUCCGCAAUGGUUUGCCAUCUUUUCGCACUAUGCAGAGUUUUUUUUUUCUUUUUUUACUCCACAAUGGUUUGUCAUCUCUACGCAUUAUGCGAAGAGAUUUUUUUUUAAUGCUCAUGUGUGGAGAGUUUUUUUUCUCAUGGCAGUUUAUAUAUACUAAAAUUAUUAUUUUUUUUUAAUGCUAAUGGUAUGAUGUGUGGAAGAACACUUGUCUGACCAUAAACAAAAUGAAAAAUAAAAAAUGACAUUACGCACAGUAAAAUUGGAUUAAUUUACUGUUACAUCAACAGUAGACCCUCCUUUCCCUUUUAUAAGAAGUUAGAUAUACUCCAUCAAAUCACUGGUCAAAUUUCAUCCACGUAAUAGGUUGUCAUCCUUAAUGUUUAUAAUUGAAUUGAGUCUCGUAGUGUUUCAAUUUCUUUCAGAAAGAGAAGGGAGUUGGACAAAUAUAAAAACUAUCAAUAACCCCAUAACAUGUUAUUCUGAUUAUUUAAUAAUAACUUUUUCCUCGUUAAAGUUGGUAUGGUCCCUCUAGGAAUCUGAGACUGCAUCAUGUGCAUUUCAAUAAUUAAUGUAGAAUACGGGAAAACACAUCUUGGACUAAAAAUGAACGAGUCCAUGCACGCAGUUGCAAUGUAGUCCUCAUUCAAUUUAUUUAUUUUUAUUUGCAUAGUCAUCACAAUUUAUGUGGUGCUGUUCAGUUUACAAGCAUCACUGUUAAUUUUAACUUAGGGUACAUUUGAUUGCAAAAAUAUAAUUUGGAUGGAAAGAAAACGAAUUUCAAGCAAUUGAGUUGCCUAAAAAUUAUUUUAUUGAGAAUUGUCAAUUAAUAGUGUUUGAUUGGUAUAAUUUUUCACCUAAAAAAUGCUGAAAUAAAAGCGUAUUUUGGUGUUCGUUUAACUUUGUUUUUCAUAAAAAUUGUCAAUUUACGAGAUAUUCUCUUUUACAAUUAUUCCUAGAACUUGUUUCCAUUACAAAAAAUAACAACAACAACAACAACAACAACAAUAAUAAUAAUAAUAAUAAUAAUAAUAAUAAAAUCAAUCAAAAAUCAUCUAUCUUUUGGUGUUUAGUUGGUUUUAUUUUAUAUGAAAAUUGUCAAUUUAAGUGAUAUUCUCUUUUAUAAUUGUUCAUAGAAUUUGUUUCAAUUGCCAAAAAAAAAAAUUAGGAAAAUCUUGGAAAUGGUGGGAAUUGCUUUUUUUCAAAAAGCUAGAAAAAUCUGAUGUGGCAAGGAUUUGGGGAAAAUCAUUUCCAUGGAAAAAUUUUAGCAUCAAACAAGUUAAAAAGUGAGAAAUGGAAUUUAAUUUCCAUUUUCCAUGGAAAAGAAGUGCCUAUCAGACAUGGCCUUAUUAUUUUUAUAGAGCAACAUUUAUGAGAAAAGAUUAAAGUUUAAAAAUAUCAUUCCUUCAUUCUAUUGAGUUUAAUAUACCAAAUGUUAUAAAUAUUUAAAGUUUUAUAAAGAUUCUCAAUGGACAUUGGUCUCAUGUCUAAUCUGCAGUCUACAGAUAUAAGACAAUCCAUGUGUAUAUGCUUUUGUAAUGAUCCUUCUAAAUUCAUUUUGAAUUAUGCAUUUUUUCAUUAAAAAAAUUUUAUAUUAAAAUUCAUCAUUUUCCUAUUUUAACCGAAUUAUGCUACUCGUACAAAGUGAAUUGUGCCCUGCCGUUGCUUGUACAAGAAGAAAUAUCAAAAUCCUUUUUAAUCAUACCUUCUAAAAUAAUAAUAACAAUAAUAAUAAUAAUAAUAAUAAUAAUAAUAAUAAUAAUAAUAAUAAUAAUAAUAAUAAUUUCACAAAACUUAUUUGCAAAAAAUUAAAUCAAACGUGCCUUGUAUAUUGAGCAAGAAAAUCUAAUGAAAGUAUCAAUCUAUCAUUUUCUUACCACCAUGACCCUCGUUUCUUUCAGAUUUUGAGUGUAGUCAAAAACGUUUAUGUUAUAGAGUCCUAUGACAAGUCUAAUGAAAGAGAUGUCAGUGAUUUAACAAACGCAAAUAUAAGAACCUACCCUCACAAAAGUAUUUGGAUGUCUACGGAUUUGGAAAAGAACAAUGCUUCGACAUGGGCAAUAAUAGGGAUAACGGUGACAGGGUGAUGUGACAAACAGUGAUUAGGUAUUGUGUUUUUUUUUUCCGAACGGUCAAAUCAUGUAUUGACAUGUCCUGUUUUUCAUUGAGCCUAUCACUACAGCAAGAUUAUUUGAAAAAAGACUAAAGUCUUCAUUAUUCACCAAUCCGACGCCUUCUCUUUUUAAUUUCAUAGUUAUCAAAAAUGAUUUUGUUGUAGGAGGUGAUCUAACAAAUUUAAACAGUAUAAAAGUGAAACAAAAAUAAAUAUCCAAAUUAAUUUUGCCUAGAAACUCACGGAUUAAAUCUUCAAAGAGAAUAUAUUAAAUCCUAUACAUCAAUAUAUAAUUUUUUCAGGAUAAAUCUAUUUGUACAUAAUUUUUUGUACAUCAAGGUGGCCUUUAUUCACAUGGGGUGGGUUCCACCAUAUAAAUUUUUUGUACAUUAAGGUAUCCUCCAUUCAAAUGGGAUCCUAUGUGAGUGAAGAACACUUUGAUGUACAAAAAAUUAUGUACACUGUGCAAAGCCCAUUUUUUUAAGAUUUAACUUACUCCAUUCACUUGUAUUUAGAUGAUUAAAUUAUUAUUUUAAUUUUUGUAGGUUUGCGAUUUUGUCUCUUCUCGUCCCAUUUAAAGUUGUAUAAAUAGUUUUCUUUUUUAAUUUUUUCAUUAAUUUUUCUUUCUUUUUUUUUUUUUUUUUUUUUUUUUUUUUUUUUUUUUUUUUUUUUUUUUUUUUUUUUUUUUUUUUUUUUUUUUUUUUUUUUUUUUUUUUUUUUUUUUUUUUUUUUUUUUUUUUUUUUUUUUUUUUUUUUUUUUUUUUUUUUUAUUUUUUUAUUAAUUUUUUUUUUUUUUUUUUUUUUUUUUUUUUGAUGU